RNAcentral lists this transfer RNA (63 nucleotides) under Micromus angulatus. RNAcentral describes it as "tRNA-Thr". Lineage: Eukaryota; Metazoa; Arthropoda; Insecta; Neuroptera; Hemerobiidae. The record is from RNAcentral.
GUUUUAAUAGUUUAUUAAAAACAUUGGUCUUGUAAAUCAAAAAAAAGAUUUUCUUUUAAAACU